CAAUUGCGAAGUCAGCUUGCUAAACUAUAACUGACGCUGAGGCACGAAAGCGUGGGGAGCGAACAGGAUUAGAUACCCUGGUAGUCCACGCCGUUAACUAUGAACACUCGCUGUUGGCGAUACACAGUCAGCGGCUGAGCGAAAGCGUUAAGUGUUCCACCUGGGAAGUACGAUCGCAAGGUUGAAACUCAAAGGAAUUGACGGGGGCCCGCACAAGCGGAGGAGCAUGUGGUUUAAUUCGAUGAUACGCGAGGAACCUUACCUGGGCUUAAAUGUAUAUUGACGUACUGAGAAAUCAGUAUUUCUUCGGACAAUUUACAAGGUGCUGCAUGGUUGUCGUCAGCUCGUGCCGUGAGGUGUCGGGUUAAGUCCCAUAACGAGCUCAACCCCUACUUCUAGUUACCAGCAUUUCGGAUGGGGACUCUAGAUGGAACUGCCUACGCAAGUAGAGAGGAAGGUGGGGAUGACGUCAAAUCAGCACGGCCCUUAUGUCCAGGGCUACACACGUGCUACAAUGGCCGGUACAGAGGGCAGCUACAUAGCAAUAUGAUGCUAAUCUCAAAAGCCGGUCUCAGUCCGGAUUGGAGUCUGCAACUCGACUCCAUGAAGUUGGAUUCGAUAGUA
RNAcentral lists this ribosomal RNA (624 nucleotides) under uncultured organism. RNAcentral describes it as "bacterial SSU rRNA". It matches the Rfam family "Bacterial small subunit ribosomal RNA", at positions 708 to 1340 of the family's 1533-position model. The record is from RNAcentral.